Molecule: ribosomal RNA, 253 nt
Filed under: uncultured bacterium
Lineage: Bacteria
Description: partial 16S ribosomal RNA
Rfam family: Bacterial small subunit ribosomal RNA
Source: RNAcentral
UACGUAGGGACCAAGCGUUGUUCGGAUUUACUGGGCGUAAAGGGCGCGUAGGCGGCCUAGCAAGUCACUUGUGAAAUCUCCGGGCUUAACUCGGAACUGCCAAGUGAAACUGCUGGGCUAGAGUGCAGAAGGGGCAAUCGGAAUUCUUGGUGUAGCGGUGAAGUGCGUAGAUAUCUGGAGGAACACCGGUGGCGAAGGCGACAUCCUGGACCGGUAUUGACGCUGAGGCGCGAAAGCCAGGGGAGCAAACGGG